UGAACGCUGGCGGCAUGCCUUACACAUGCAAGUCGAACGGCAGCAUGAUCUAGCUUGCUAGAUUGAUGGCGAGUGGCGAACGGGUGAGUAAUACAUCGGAACGUGCCCUGUAGUGGGGGAUAACUAGUCGAAAGAUUAGCUAAUACCGCAUACGACCUGAGGGUGAAAGUGGGGGACCGCAAGGCCUCAUGCUAUAGGAGCGGCCGAUGUCUGAUUAGCUAGUUGGUGAGGUAAAGGCUCACCAAGGCGACGAUCAGUAGCUGGUCUGAGAGGACGAUCAGCCACACUGGGACUGAGACACGGCCCAGACUCCUACGGGAGGCAGCAGUGGGGAAUUUUGGACAAUGGGGGCAACCCUGAUCCAGCAAUGCCGCGUGUGUGAAGAAGGCCUUCGGGUUGUAAAGCACUUUUGUCCGGAAAGAAAUCGCACUUACUAAUAUUAGGUGUGGAUGACGGUACCGGAAGAAUAAGGACCGGCUAACUACGUGCCAGCAGCCGCGGUAAUACGUAGGGUCCAAGCGUUAAUCGGAAUUACUGGGCGUAAAGCGUGCGCAGGCGGUUGUGCAAGACCGAUGUGAAAUCCCCGGGCUUAACCUGGGAAUUGCAUUGGUGACUGCACGGCUAGAGUGUGUCAGAGGGGGGGUAGAAUUCCACGUGUAGCAGUGAAAUGCGUAGAGAUGUGGAGGAAUACCGAUGGCGAAGGCAGCCCCCUGGGAUAACACUGACGCUCAUGCACGAAAGCGUGGGGAGCAAACAGGAUUAGAUACCCUGGUAGUCCACGCCCUAAACGAUGUCAACUAGUUGUUGGGGAUUCAUUUCCUUAGUAACGUAGCUAACGCGUGAAGUUGACCGCCUGGGGAGUACGGUCGCAAGAUUAAAACUCAAAGGAAUUGACGGGGACCCGCACAAGCGGUGGAUGAUGUGGAUUAAUUCGAUGCAACGCGAAAAACCUUACCUACCCUUGACAUGCCACUAACGAAGCAGAGAUGCAUUAGGUGCUCGAAAGAGAAAGUGGACACAGGUGCUGCAUGGCUGUCGUCAGCUCGUGUCGUGAGAUGUUGGGUUAAGUCCCGCAACGAGCGCAACCCUUGUCUCUAGUUGCUACGAAAGGGCACUCUAGAGAGACUGCCGGUGACAAACCGGAGGAAGGUGGGGAUGACGUCAAGUCCUCAUGGCCCUUAUGGGUAGGGCUUCACACGUCAUACAAUGGUGCAUACAGAGGGUUGCCAAGCCGCGAGGUGGAGCUAAUCCCAGAAAAUGCAUCGUAGUCCGGAUCGUAGUCUGCAACUCGACUACGUGAAGCUGGAAUCGCUAGUAAUCGCGGAUCAGCAUGCCGCGAUGAAUACGUUCCCGGGUCUUGUACUCACCGCC
This 1371-nucleotide ribosomal RNA is filed under the name uncultured bacterium. Its description in RNAcentral is "16S ribosomal RNA". It matches the Rfam family "Bacterial small subunit ribosomal RNA", at positions 30 to 1394 of the family's 1533-position model. The record is from RNAcentral.